CUAGGAGCCGAUGAAGGACGGGACUAACACCGAUAUGCUUCGGGGAGCGGUAAGUACCCUUU
Molecule: ribosomal RNA, 62 nt
Filed under: Lactobacillus sp. TTp13
Lineage: Bacteria; Bacillati; Bacillota; Bacilli; Lactobacillales; Lactobacillaceae
Description: partial 23S ribosomal RNA
Source: RNAcentral